CCACCAGCCUACACCACAGCCACAGCAAUGCAGGAUCUGAGCCGAAUCUGUGACCUACACCACAGCUCACGGCAACACUGGAUCCUUAACCCACUGAACAAGGUCAGGGAUUGAAGUUGUGUCCUCAUGUAUGCUAGUCAGAUUUGUUUUGCUGAGCCAUGACAGGGACUCCUACUAACCUAACCUAUUCUUAUUCAAUCUUUAAAGACUUCUAAGUGCAUAUUAAUUCUUAAGUUUUCAGGUUUUGAUAACUAUAAAUAUCAGAAAUAAAUAACUAUUUAGUGAUACAGAGCAAAAGCUUCAGAAUACUAUCUGUAUGGUAUUAAAAUUUUCAUUGAUCUAUCAGGCAGUAUAAAUUCACAUGAAUAUUUACUUUCAACACUUUCACAAUUGUUUACAUUUCAGGAUUUACAUGUCUGUAGUGAUGGAGACUAUUUUGAGAUCAUGUUUAAUUCUACAUUUAAAAUAUAAAGAAACUGAUAUCAGAAAAAUGGCUCAAGGUCACUUAGUUGGUUAUUGGCAGAGCUGACAUUUCAGUUUGCUCUAUAAUGUCACACUCAUAUUUGAGAAAGAAUGACUAAAAUUGCCCAAAGCCUUUAGAAUUUUUGCGUCCUUAUAGUUGAGUUAUUACUCUAGGGCCAAUUUGAGUUUAGUGAUAUUUAAUUUGUACCCCAGAAUCAUUCUUCUUAGGUUAAAACGAAAAGAGUAAAAAUAUAAACUACUUCUUAGCUUAGAUCUAACUGAUUAAAUAUCAAAUAUUACUUCAUAAUAUCAGCAAUGAUAUUUAAUUUAUAUACAAUUAAACUCCACUAUGAUAAUUGGAGUUUACCUUUUAGGCCCUUAUCUUAUGGAUGCCAUUUGAGUUAUGUGUCCACAUUUCAUCUUUAACCUCACCCAGGCUAGUAUUUGACAUAUUCACUCUGCAGUAUAAUCUCAUUCAUUGCAGUUGUUGCUGUGUAGUCAGUUUUCCUAACUGUGCUAAAAUAUUUGCCUAAUGAUGCUUUAAAUCCAAUUACCGCAUGCCUUCUGAAGGGGCAGCACAUGUUCAAAACAUAUCUCAGCUUCUCAGUUCCUUUGAUAAUGAAUCACUGAUUUCCUCUACAGACCAGAUGCAGGCCAUUAUAUUUUUGCCCACGUGUUCAAGGUAAUUUAGAGGCGAGAUGAGUUGCCCAGUUUCCCAGGUGCCCUGGCCAUUCACUCUUACAAUUGCUGUUAUAGUCCAGGGAUAUUUUGUAUAUUGAAGAUUCAGUUUGCUUCCUUGAAACACAGCCUUUGUGAGGAGAAUGAGCACGUGAAAGAGCUGGGCUUUUAGCCAACCAUUCACAUAUGAGCAUCAAAAAUCUAUUUCUGUUUUCUGAAAACUCGUAUCAUAAUCUACUUAAUGGAUGCUACCACCUUUCUGUGAUUCCAAAGCACUUUGAUAGGAAUAAUGACAUAUGAACUGUAUUUUAAAAAGCAGUUAUUUAAAUGAACAUUUAAAAAAAUAGCAUCCUUUUUUUGGAUUUUUUUUUUGGUGUUUUUAGGGAAGCACCCAUGGCAUAUGGAAAUUCCCAGGCUAGAGGUCUAAUUGUAGAUGUUAUGCCACAGCCAGAGCAACAUGGGAUCUGAGACACACUUGUGACUUACACCACAGCUCAUGGCAGUGCCAGAUCCUUAACCCACUGAGUGAGGCCAGGGAUCUAACCCACAUCGGAUACUAGUUGGAUUCAUUUCCACCGAACCAUGAUAGGAACUCCAGAAUCAGAAAUUUAAUAGUUUUAGUGACUACAGCCUACAUAAAAAUAUUUACAUGCAUUUUCCAGCCUUUGGUGUUAGGAUAUUUAUGUAUUUUUUACAUAAAGUCAUAGGAACUUUCUUUAAAUGUCUUAUUAAAAAAUGCAUGCUAAUACAUGGCCAUAAGGAAGUUAUAAGUCUCAAGUACAUAUAUCUAUAACUUUGUGUGACGACUUAAAAAAUCUAUGUAUCUUUUCUUGGGAUGGGAUUAAGAUGAUGGAGUAGAAGGACUGGAGCUCAACUUCUCUCCUAAAAACACCAAAAUUCACAACUAAAGACUAAGCAAUCUUCAACCAAAUGGACCACAAACCUUAAAAAAGAAAUCCUACUCCAGAGGACAAAGAGGAGGCUAUAUCAAGAGGUAGGAGGGGUGAUUCCCACCCCAUAGCUCCCAGGUGGGAAGCCCCACAGACUGGAAACUAACUGGUUCACAGAGACUCACCUACAGGAGUGAGAGUUCUAAGCCCCACAUCAAACUCCCACGUGUGGGGAUCUGGCACUGGGAGAAAGAGCACCUGGAGCAUCUGGUAUUGAAGGCCAGUGGGGACUGUGCACAGGAGCUCCAUGUGACUGGGGGAGAUGGAGACCCCAUUCUUUAAAGGGACACAUAGACUUUCACAUGCACUGGGUCCCAGGGCAAAGCAAAGUCUCUAUAGGAAUCUGGGUCAAACCUGACUGCAGUUCUUGGAGGACUUCCUGGGAAAGCAGGGCUGAAUGUGGCUUGUUGUAGGGGAAAGGACAUUGAAAGCAAAGCUCUCAGGAAUAUUCAGCAGAAUGCCUUCCUCUGGAGGUGGCCAUUUUGGGAAAAUCCCACCCAUCAGUGCUGAGAAGCCCCAGGCCAAACAACAAACCAGGUGGGAUCACAUCCCCACCCCUCAGUAAACAGGCUGCCUAAAGACCCCCCAGGCACACAGCCACCUCUAAUCCCAUCCAGAGACAAUCCCCCACCCACCAGAGGAAUAAGAAUCAGCUCCACUUACCAGUGGGCAGGCAUUAGUGCCUCCCAUCAGGAAGCCUACAGCAAGCCCCUGUGCCAACUUCAGCCACAAGGGGGGAAAACACCAGAAGUAAGAGAGGCUACAAUUCUAUUAUCCGUAAAAAAGAUCACCACACCAAAAAUCUAUCAAAAUGAAAAGACAGAGAACUAUAACUCAGAUGAGGGGGAAAGGAAAAACCCCAGAAAAACAGCUAAGUGAUCAGGAGAUUCUAAACCUCCAGGAAAAAGACUUUAGACUGUUGAUGUGAAGAUGAUGCAAGACAUUGGAAAUAAACUGGAGGCAAAGAUGGAUAACUUACAGGAAACACUGAGCAAAGCGAUCCAAAAUAUAAAACUUAAGCAAGAAGAGAUGCAAAAUCCAAUAACUGAAAUAAAAAAUUCAUUAGAAGCAGCCAACAGCAGAAUACAGGAGGCAGAAAAAUGAAUAAGCAAGGUGGAAGACAGAAUAGUGGAAAUUACGGAUGGAACAGAAAAGAGAAAAAUGAUUGAAAACAAAUGGAGAGAGUCUCAGAGAACUCUCGGACAAUGUUAAAUGCACCAACAUCCAUAUUGUAGGGGUGCCAGAAAGAGAAGAGAGAGAGAAGGAGGCAGAAAAAAUAUUCCAAGAGAUAAUAGCCAAAAACUUCCCUAACAUGGGAAAGGAACCACUCACUCAAAUCCAGGAAGCACAAUGAGUACCAUAUAAAAUAAACCCAAGGAGGAACACCCCAAGACACAUAUUAAUCAAACUGACCAAAAUUAAAGAUAUCUUCCAGGGAAAAGAAACAAAUAACAUACAAGGGAACCUGAUAAGGUUUUUGGCAGAUUUUUCAGCAGAAACUCUGCAGGCCAGAAGGGAGUGGCAUGAUAUAAUUAACGUGAUGAAAAGAAAAAUCCUCCAACCAAGAUUACUUUAUCCAGCAAGGCUCUCAUUCAGGUUUGAAGGAGAAAUCAAAAGCUCACAGAUAAGCAAAAGCUGAGAGAAUUAAGCAACACUAAACCAGCUUUACAACAAAUACUAAAGGAACUUCUCUAGGCAGAAAAGAAAAGACAGCAACAGGAAACCAAAAUUCCACAAAUGACAAGGCUCACCAGUAAAGGUAUAUAUACAGUAAAGAUACAAGAUCAUCCAUGCACAAUUAUGCCACCAAAAUCAGAAAUCAUGAGAAGAGGAGAGUACAGAUGCAGGACACUGGAGUUGCACUUGCAAUUCAGAGACCAACAACUUAAAACGAUCUCAUAUAUAUAUACAUAUAUAUAUACGUAUAUACAUAUAUAUAUAUAUAGACUAAUAUCAAAACUUCAGAAUAACUACAAACCAAAAAUCUUCAAUUGAUACACAAACAAAUAAGGAAAAUCAACUCAAAUACAACACUAAAGAUAGUCAUC
This 4138-nucleotide long non-coding RNA is filed under the name Sus scrofa (pig). RNAcentral describes it as "lncRNA (ENSSSCG00000060993.1)". The record is from RNAcentral. Lineage: Eukaryota; Metazoa; Chordata; Mammalia; Artiodactyla; Suidae.